ACGGGAGGCAGCAGUGGGGGAUAUUGCACAAUGGGGGAAACCCUGAUGCAGCGACGCCGCGUGAGUGAUGAAGUAUUUCGGUAUGUAAAGCUCUAUCAGCAGGAAAGAUAAUGACGGUACCUGACUAAGAAGCACCGGCUAAAUACGUGCCAGCAGCCGCGGUAAUACGUAUGGUGCAAGCGUUAUCCGGAUUUACUGGGUGUAAAGGGAGCGUAGACGGCUGUGUAAGUCUGAAGUGAAAGCCCCGGGCUCAACCCGGGAACUGCUUUGGAAACUAUAUAGCUAGAGUGCAGGAGAGGUAAGUGGAAUUCCUAGUGUAGCGGUGAAAUGCUUAGAUAUUAGGAGGAACACCAGUGGCGAAGGCGGCUUACUGGACUGUAACUGACGUUGAGGCUCGAAAGCGUGGGGAGCAAACAGGAUUAGAUACCCUGGUA
RNAcentral lists this ribosomal RNA (434 nucleotides) under uncultured Clostridium sp. RNAcentral's name for it is "partial 16S ribosomal RNA". It matches the Rfam family "Bacterial small subunit ribosomal RNA", at positions 341 to 792 of the family's 1533-position model. The record is from RNAcentral. Lineage: Bacteria; Bacillati; Bacillota; Clostridia; Eubacteriales; Clostridiaceae.